GGAGGCGUGGCAGAACGGUAUUGCAGCUCGUCGCUAGCGAGUCGCCGCUUGACCCGCGGUUGGGGGUUCGAAUCCCUCCGCCUCCG
This 86-nucleotide transfer RNA is filed under the name Mycobacterium avium subsp. hominissuis. RNAcentral's name for it is "tRNA-Ser". It matches the Rfam family "tRNA". Rfam says of the family: Transfer RNA (tRNA) molecules are approximately 80 nucleotides in length. Their secondary structure includes four short double-helical elements and three loops (D, anti-codon, and T loops). Further hydrogen bonds mediate the characteristic L-shaped molecular structure. tRNAs have two regions of fundamental functional importance: the anti-codon, which is responsible for specific mRNA codon recognition, and the 3' end, to which the tRNAs corresponding amino acid is attached (by aminoacyl-tRNA synthetases). tRNAs cope with the degeneracy of the genetic code in two manners: having more than one tRNA (with a specific anti-codon) for a particular amino acid; and 'wobble' base-pairing, i.e. permitting non-standard base-pairing at the 3rd anti-codon position. The record is from RNAcentral. Lineage: Bacteria; Bacillati; Actinomycetota; Actinomycetes; Mycobacteriales; Mycobacteriaceae. RNAcentral also lists the same sequence under 3 other names.